This 249-nucleotide ribosomal RNA is filed under the name uncultured bacterium. RNAcentral's name for it is "partial 16S ribosomal RNA". It matches the Rfam family "Bacterial small subunit ribosomal RNA", at positions 15 to 257 of the family's 1533-position model. The record is from RNAcentral.
GAUAUGGCUCAGGAUGAACGCUAGCUACAGGCUUAACACAUGCAAGUCGAGGGGCAUCAGGAAGAAAGCUUGCUUUCUUUGCUGGCGACCGGCGCGCGGGUGAGUAACACGUAUCCAACCUGCCCUUUACUCGGGGAUAGCCUUUCGAAAGAAAGAUUAAUACCCGAUGGCAUAAUGAUUCCGCAUGGUUUCAUUAUUAAAGGAUUCCGGUAAAGGAUGGGGAUGCGUUCCAUUAGGUUGUUGGUGAGG